This is a long non-coding RNA of Brassica napus (rape), 1288 nucleotides long. RefSeq lists it as uncharacterized. The transcript is spliced from 2 exons. The record is from RefSeq and is a predicted model, not a curated record. NCBI's taxonomy places the organism in Eukaryota, Viridiplantae, Streptophyta, Magnoliopsida, Brassicales, Brassicaceae.
GAAAAAUUAAGAUCUCUCAUGGAUGAAGAAUCCGAUUUGCUGAUGUUUAAUGGUUUCUUUGAGAAAAAGCAGAGCAGAGACUUAGUAUUAGAGAUAUGUUGGGCCGGAAGAUAUGUAUCUUACGGACCAAGUCUGUGAAGCCUGUGAAACCCAUGAAGACCCUCAAGAAUAAAAGGAAAGAUUUGAAGAACAAGUUACUCUCAAAAUAUUUUAGCAUAUUUACAUUAAGUGUUUAGGAAAGUUAGCAUUAUCUAGUGUUAACAUUAUGUUAAUGUUACCACUAUAUACAUGCAUAUUGUAUUCUCUUAUUAAACACAAUACAAUAAUAUAUCUAUUCUAUUAUAUUUUACAUGGUAUCAGAGCAGACGAUUCGUAGGGAUCAAAAUUAAGCUUUCGCGUUAUAAGUUUUAAACUUCGAAGAUGCUUACCAUCGGUGGUGUUGAUGAUGGCAAAGAAGGUGGUGACGACGAUUCAGACGAAGACGUCAACGUAUACGUCAAGUUCUCUCAUUAGGGAUACUUCUUAAUAAUAAGUAUUAGGGUUUUGUUAAGUACGUUAUCUAAGUCAAAGGAUUUUUUAUUUUUUUUUAUUUUGGUGAAUGCUUGAGAAUUAUUGAGGGUUAAGGUUUGUAGUUUCACAUGGGUUAUUUUCUAUCUGAGAUUUUUCUAUAGUUUAGAAUUUCUCAACAGUUGUUUUCUCAUGGGAUUUAUUGGUUAUAGUUUAACCAUUACAGGGGAGUUCUAGUUGAACGUUCAAAUUCUUAGGUCAGUUUUUUUUAGUCCGUGUUAUGGACUGUCCAAGUCAAGGAUAAUUGUUUAUGGAGCUGCAGUUGCGCCCACGAGAUGUAUUCUCAUUGUCAAGACCGAAGAAGAGCUGAAGAUUUCAUCCCUCCUUGUCUAAGUUGAAGUUUAUUCCCGAAGGAAUCUACUGAUUUGUUUUCUUCGACAUAGUGUCCACGACAUACGUGGUCUGCUUUGUGAUUGCAGAUUUGCGUGUUGCAUCCCACGUUUGUCGUGCGGGGGAGUAUUAGAGAUAUGUUGGGCCGGAAGAUAUGUAUCUUACGGACCAAGUCUGUGAAGCCUGUGAAACCCAUGAAGACCCUCAAGAAUAAAAGGAAAGAUUUGAAGAACAAGUUACUCUCAAAAUAUUUUAGCAUAUUUACAUUAAGUGUUUAGGAAAGUUAGCAUUAUCUAGUGUUAACAUUAUGUUAAUGUUACCACUAUAUACAUGCAUAUUGUAUUCUCUUAUUAAACACAAUACAAUAAUAUAUCUAUUCUAUUAUAUUUUA